Molecule: ribosomal RNA, 804 nt
Filed under: Gracilaria bursa-pastoris
Lineage: Eukaryota; Rhodophyta; Florideophyceae; Gracilariales; Gracilariaceae
Description: LSU rRNA
Rfam family: Eukaryotic large subunit ribosomal RNA
Source: RNAcentral
GAAGUCGGAAUCCGCUAAGGAGUGUGUAACAACUCACCUGCCGAAUGAAGUAGCCCUGAAAAUGGAUGACGCUUAAGCGGGUAGCCGAUACUACGCCGUCUAGAAAAUAUGUUUUUAGAUGAGUAGGGGGGCGUGGUGAUCGUAUCGAAGCAUGCGUGCGAACGCGUGUGGAACGGUCACUAGUGCAGAUCUUGGUGGUAGUAGCAAAUAUUCAAGUGAGAACCUUGAAGGGCGAAGCGGGGAAGGGUUCCAUGCGAACAUUGAUUGGGCAUGGGUGAGUCGUACCUAAGCCGAGUGGCAAUUGCUUACUCACGCGGCGAAAGGGAAGCGGGUUGAAAUUCCCGCACACGGAUGUGGAAGCGGCGACGCAUUACUGGGGCGGUGACGUUGGCAGUGGCGCUGGCAGAGUUGUCUUUUCUGUUACCGCCUGACGCUUGCACUGUGGAAUCCGCUUGUCGGGAGAAACAGGCAGGCACGGGUAGAGCGCCGGGCUUUUUCCGGCGUCCAGCUCGCCACUGACGGCCCUUGAAAAACUGUCCUCAGAUAUUAAACUCCACGCCGUGGCGUACCGAUAUCCGCAUCAGGUCCCCAAGGUGAACAGCCUCUGCUCGAUAUGAAAAAUGCAGGUAAGGGAAGUCGGCAAAUUAGACCCGUAACUUUGGGAAAAGGGUUGGCUCUAGUGCUGCGUGAGGACUGGUUGUUGUCUGCUGGUGCAGUCCGGUGGCUGUCGGCCGAGCGCUGGGUCGCAAGAUCUGUGCUUGCUGAUGCUACUGUCUGUGCCACGGGCGACGACGCUCACAGCAU